Molecule: ribosomal RNA, 363 nt
Filed under: uncultured eukaryote
Lineage: Eukaryota
Description: partial 18S ribosomal RNA
Rfam family: Eukaryotic small subunit ribosomal RNA
Source: RNAcentral
CAAUAGCGUAUACUAAUGUUGUUGCAGUUAAAAAGCUCGUAGUUGAACUUCUGGUAGGAGUGUCCCGGCCUUUUUGUUUUUACAAAUUGUAUGCUGUGUGACAUCUCUGGCCAUCCUUCUUCUUUGUUUAAAGAAGAUCUUUCACUGUAAAAAAAUUAGGGUGUUCAAAGCAAAAGUUUCUUUGGAAUAUAUUAGUAUGGGAUGAUAAGAUAGGCUCUAGAUGCUAUUUUGUUGGUUUGCACAUUUAGAGAAUGAUUAACAGGGACAGCUGGGGGUAUUCGUAUUUACAUGUCAGAGGUGAAAUUCUUGGAUUUUGGAAAGACGAACUACUGCGAAAGCAUUUACCAAGGAUGUUUUCAUUAA